AUCGCUUCUCGGCCUUUUGGCUAAGAUCAAGUGUAGUAUCUGUUCUUAUCAGUUUAAUAUCUGAUACGUCCCCUACCCGGGGACCAUAUAUUAAAUUGAUUGAUUUUUGGAACAGGGAGAUAGAAUAGGACAGUCGACCCGGUAUUGCAGUAUCUCCGGGACCGGUGCACCCCCU
RNAcentral lists this small nuclear RNA (175 nucleotides) under Monopterus albus (swamp eel). RNAcentral's name for it is "U2 spliceosomal RNA (ENSMALG00000013879.1)". It matches the Rfam family "U2 spliceosomal RNA". Rfam says of the family: U2 is a small nuclear RNA (snRNA) component of the spliceosome (involved in pre-mRNA splicing). Lineage: Eukaryota; Metazoa; Chordata; Actinopteri; Synbranchiformes; Synbranchidae. The record is from RNAcentral.